Molecule: transfer RNA, 72 nt
Filed under: Bos taurus (domestic cattle)
Lineage: Eukaryota; Metazoa; Chordata; Mammalia; Artiodactyla; Bovidae
Also listed under: 4 other names
Rfam family: tRNA
About the family: Transfer RNA (tRNA) molecules are approximately 80 nucleotides in length. Their secondary structure includes four short double-helical elements and three loops (D, anti-codon, and T loops). Further hydrogen bonds mediate the characteristic L-shaped molecular structure. tRNAs have two regions of fundamental functional importance: the anti-codon, which is responsible for specific mRNA codon recognition, and the 3' end, to which the tRNAs corresponding amino acid is attached (by aminoacyl-tRNA synthetases). tRNAs cope with the degeneracy of the genetic code in two manners: having more than one tRNA (with a specific anti-codon) for a particular amino acid; and 'wobble' base-pairing, i.e. permitting non-standard base-pairing at the 3rd anti-codon position.
Source: Rfam by way of RNAcentral
UCCCUAAUGGCUAAGAUGAUAAAGCAUCUGCCUACAAUGCAGGAGACCCAGGUUCGAUCCAUGGGUUGGAAA